RNAcentral lists this ribosomal RNA (175 nucleotides) under uncultured bacterium. RNAcentral's name for it is "partial 16S ribosomal RNA". It matches the Rfam family "Bacterial small subunit ribosomal RNA", at positions 118 to 291 of the family's 1533-position model. The record is from RNAcentral.
UGAGGGACAUGACCUUCGGCGGGGGAUAGCCGGCCCAACGGCCGGGUAAUACCGCGUACGACCACAUGGGGACAUCCCUGAGUGGUGAAAGCAGCAAUGCGCCGAUGGAGUGCCUCGCGGCCUAUCAGCUAGUUGGUGAGGUAACGGCUCACCAAGGCGACGACGGGUAGCUGGU